Molecule: transfer RNA, 76 nt
Filed under: Chloroflexota bacterium
Lineage: Bacteria; Bacillati; Chloroflexota
Description: tRNA-Gln
Rfam family: tRNA
About the family: Transfer RNA (tRNA) molecules are approximately 80 nucleotides in length. Their secondary structure includes four short double-helical elements and three loops (D, anti-codon, and T loops).
Source: RNAcentral
AGGUGUGUAGUCAAGUGGUUAAGACAUUGAGCUUUGAUCUCAACAUUCGAAGGUUCGAAUCCUUCCACACCUUCCA